GGUGAACGCUGGCGGCGUGCCUAACACAUGCAAGUCGAGCGGUGCAGUUUGAAGCUUCGGUGGAAAGCUGCAUAGCGGCGGACGGGUGAGGAAAACGUAGGAACGUGCCCCUUGGAGUUGGAUAGCCACGGGAAACUGUGGGUAAACCGACAUAGACUCGAGAGAGUAAAGGCCGAAAGGCGCCAAGGGAGCGGCCUGCGGCCCAUCAGGUAGUUGGUAGUGUAAAGGACUACCAAGCCGACGACGGGUAGCCGGUCUGAGAGGAUGGCCGGCCACAAGGGCACUGAGAGACGGGCCCUACUCCUACGGGAGGCAGCAGUGGGGGAUUUUGGACAAUGGGCGAAAGCCUGAUCCAGCGACGCCGCGUGGAGGACGAAGCCCUUCGGGGUGUAAACUCCUUUUCUCAGGGAAAAAGGAUGAUGGUACCUGAGGAAUAAGCCCCGGCUAACUACGUGCCAGCAGCCGGGGUAAACACGAGAGUA
RNAcentral lists this ribosomal RNA (482 nucleotides) under uncultured bacterium. Its description in RNAcentral is "bacterial SSU rRNA". It matches the Rfam family "Bacterial small subunit ribosomal RNA", at positions 28 to 533 of the family's 1533-position model. The record is from RNAcentral.